This is a long non-coding RNA of Saccostrea cuccullata (small rock oyster), 524 nucleotides long. RefSeq lists it as uncharacterized. Lineage: Eukaryota; Metazoa; Mollusca; Bivalvia; Ostreida; Ostreidae. The transcript has 2 exons. The record is from RefSeq and is a predicted model, not a curated record.
AUUCACAGAGAAAAUGUUCUGCUGGAAAUAUGGGGCAACAUUCAGCCUGUACACACAUAGACUAGGGAUUCCACCAAAAACUGAAAGAGAAAAGAAGCUGAUGUACUCAAACAAUCCCUGGCAAGAGAAAUUAAUUUGUGAAAUGAAAGAAUGCACAGACAUAACAUUUUAAUAUUUGUUUGUACAAAAAUUGACAUUGAAAGGAAUUUACUGUAUGUGUACUUAAAAUAGCGAGCUUCAUAUUUUAGUUGUUUUUGAGCAGACGAGGAUGUGCUAAUUCAUAAAUACCACUAAAAAUUCAUUUAUAAAUAGAAUAUACGACACAAAUAUUUGUAGCAUUAAUUCAAGAUUAUGCCAACAACCAUAUCCAUUGAUUGUGCUAAAUUUUGAAAACACCAAGUUAUGUACAUGUACAGUAUUUUUCCAAAGCUUGAACUUUUUUCUGUUAACGAUUUUGCUUAUUUUAUUCAUGGCUGUAAAUAAAUAAAACAAAAAAGAUUGUAUUAAAUAUUUAUACAUAUUUA